Molecule: ribosomal RNA, 468 nt
Filed under: uncultured bacterium
Lineage: Bacteria
Description: partial 16S ribosomal RNA
Rfam family: Bacterial small subunit ribosomal RNA
Source: RNAcentral
GACGAACGCUGGCGGCGUGCUUAACACAUGCAAGUCGAACGGAAAGGCCCUGCUUUUGUGGGGUGCUCGAGUGGCGAACGGGUGAGUAACACGUGAGUAACCUGCCCUUGACUUUGGGAUAACUUCAGGAAACUGGGGCUAAUACCGGAUAGGAGCUCCUGCUGCAUGGUGGGGGUUGGAAAGUUUCGGCGGUUGGGGAUGGACUCGCGGCUUAUCAGCUUGUUGGUGGGGUAGUGGCUUACCAAGGCUUUGACGGGUAGCCGGCCUGGGAGGGUGACCGGCCACAAUGGGACUGAGAUACGGCCCGGACUCCUACGGGAGGCAGCAGUGGGGAAUAUUGCACAAUGGGCGGAAGCCUGAUGCAGAAACGCCGCGUGCGGGAUGACGGCCUUCGGGUUGUAAACCGCUUUCGCCUGUGACGAAGCGUGAGUGACGGUAAUGGGUAAAGAAGCACCGGCUAACUACGUG